GAUGAACGCUAGCUACAGGCUUAACACAUGCAAGUCGAGGGGCAGCAUGGUCUUAGCUUGCUAAGGCUAAUGGCGACCGGCGCACGGGUGAGUAACACGUAUCCAACCUGCCGUCUACUCUUGGCCAGCCUUCUGAAAGGAAGAUUAAUCCAGGAUGGGAUCAUGAGUUCACAUGUCCGCAUGAUUAAAGGUAUUUUCCGGUAGACGAUGGGGAUGCGUUCCAUUAGAUAGUAGGCGGGGUAACGGCCCACCUAGUCAACGAUGGAUAGGGGUUCUGAGAGGAAGGUCCCCCACAUUGGAACUGAGACACGGUCCAAACUCCUACGGGAGGCAGCAGUGAGGAAUAUUGGUCAAUGGGCGAUGGCCUGAACCAGCCAAGUAGCGUGAAGGAUGACUGCCCUAUGGGUUGUAAACUUCUUUUAUAAAGGAAUAAAGUCGGGUAUGCAUACCCGUUUGCAUGUACUUUAUGAAUAAGGAUCGGCUAACUCCGUGCCAGCAGCCGCGGUAAUACGGAGGAUCCGAGCGUUAUCCGGAUUUAUUGGGUUUAAAGGGAGCGUAGAUGGAUGUUUAAGUCAGUUGUGAAAGUUUGCGGCUCAACCGUAAAAUUGCAGUUGAUACUGGAUGUCUUGAGUGCAGUUGAGGCAGGCGGAAUUCGUGGUGUAGCGGUGAAAUGCUUAGAUAUCACGAAGAACUCCGAUUGCGAAGGCAGCCUGCUAAGCUGCAACUGACAU
RNAcentral lists this ribosomal RNA (731 nucleotides) under uncultured Bacteroidales bacterium. RNAcentral describes it as "bacterial SSU rRNA". It matches the Rfam family "Bacterial small subunit ribosomal RNA", at positions 28 to 746 of the family's 1533-position model. The record is from RNAcentral. Lineage: Bacteria; Pseudomonadati; Bacteroidota; Bacteroidia; Bacteroidales.